GACGAACGCUGGCGGCGUGCUUAACACAUGCAAGUUGAACGGUAUGACAUGGAAGCUUGCUGAAGUGUCAUAUAGUAGCGGACGGGUGAGUAAUGCAUGAGAAGCUGCCAUUGGGAGGGGGACAACAGUUGGAAACGGCUGCUAAUACCCCGUAUGCCGGAAGGUGAAAGGGAGUAAUCCGCCCGAUGAGGUGCUCAUGUCCUAUCAGCUGGUUGGUGGGGUAACGGCCUACCAAGGCGACGACGGGUAGCCGGCCUGAGAGGGUGAACGGCCACACUGGAACUGAGAUACGGUCCAGACUCCUACGGGAGGCAGCAGUGGGGAAUAUUGGGCAAUGGGGGCAACCCUGACCCAGCGACGCCGCGUGGGGGAAGACGGCCUUCGGGUUGUAAACCUCUUUUGUACGGGAAGAACGAGUGACGGUACUGUACGAAUAAGUCCCGGCUAACUACGUGCCAGCAGCCGCGGUAAUACGUAGGGGACGAGCGUUGUCCGGAAUUACUGGGCGUAAAGGGCGCGCAGGCUGUGCUGCAAGUCAGCUGUUAAAUGUCUGGGCUUAACCCGGGCAUGCGGUUGAGACUGCAGUGCUGGAGUGCUGUAGAGGCAAGUGGAAUUCCCAGUGUAGCGGUGAAAUGCGUUGAUAUUGGGAAGAACACCGGUGGCCGAAGGCGACUUGCUGGGCAGCAACUGACGUUGAGGCGCGAAAGCCAGGGGAGCACACGGGAUUAGAUACCCCGGUAGUCCUGGCCGUAAACGAUGAAUGCUAGGUGUGGGUGUAGAGAUACAUUCGUGCCGGAGUUUACGCGAUAAGCAUUCCGCCUGGGGAGUACGGUCGCAAGAUUGAAACUCAAAGGAAUUGACGGGGGCCCGCACAAGCGGUGGAGCACGUGGUUUAAUUCGAUGCAAA
RNAcentral lists this ribosomal RNA (907 nucleotides) under uncultured bacterium. RNAcentral describes it as "bacterial SSU rRNA". It matches the Rfam family "Bacterial small subunit ribosomal RNA", at positions 28 to 960 of the family's 1533-position model. The record is from RNAcentral.